RNAcentral lists this unclassified non-coding RNA (502 nucleotides) under Hevea brasiliensis (rubber tree). The record is from RNAcentral. Lineage: Eukaryota; Viridiplantae; Streptophyta; Magnoliopsida; Malpighiales; Euphorbiaceae.
CCUGCACAUUAAAAUGAACCAAAAGAAUCCGUACAAAUUUAGGGUCAUGGCUGCUAAAAUAUUAUCUUUUCUGCAGUAUUUAAAAAGUAACCAUCACAACUAAACUGUAAUUCUCAACGAGUUUAGAGAGACAAACUGCAGAAUACUUGGGAAGAUGAGGACGCAUCAUGGCUUUCCUCAUCACUAUAACAGAUUUACACAGUGACUCAUUUAGAUCAAGAUAAUUAGACAAAUGAUAGUACCAAAUAUUAGCAAGGACCAAGGAACUAUCUACGUAUGAUAUUGAAUUUCAAAAUACAGAUUAUGUUAUAUAGGGAUCUCAAAUUCAAUUCUUCCUAGCUAUAAUGCUCAUUGAAGGUCACAGGUCAUCUGCGUUGUAUGUAAGGCAUAUGACAAGUUUGAAACUGACCUGGCACUCUGGAUCGCCAAAUCGUACAUUGUACUCAAUUAACUUAGGCAGGCCAGACUUCUUCUCUAUCAUUAACCCAGCAUAUAAAACUCC